Molecule: ribosomal RNA, 143 nt
Filed under: uncultured bacterium
Lineage: Bacteria
Description: partial 16S rRNA
Rfam family: Bacterial small subunit ribosomal RNA
Source: RNAcentral
GUGGGGAAUUUUCCGCAAUGGGCGAAAGCCUGACAGAGCAAUGCCGCGUGGAGGUGGGAGGCCUACGGGUCGUCAACUUCUUUUCUCGGAGAAGAAACAAUGACGGUAUCUGAGGAAUAAGCAUUCGGCUAACUCUGUGCCAG